RNAcentral lists this ribosomal RNA (468 nucleotides) under uncultured bacterium. RNAcentral describes it as "partial 16S ribosomal RNA". It matches the Rfam family "Bacterial small subunit ribosomal RNA", at positions 28 to 507 of the family's 1533-position model. The record is from RNAcentral.
GACGAACGCUGGCGGCGUGCUUAACACAUGCAAGUCGAACGGAAAGGCCCUGCUUUUGUGGGGUGCUCGAGUGGCGAACGGGUGAGUAACACGUGAGUAGCCUGCCCUUGACUUUGGGAUAACUUCAGGAAACUGGGGCUAAUACCGGAUAGGAGCUCCUGCUGCAUGGUGGGGGUUGGAAAGUUUCGGCGGUUGGGGAUGGACUCGCGGCUUAUCAGCUUGUUGGUGGGGUAGUGGCUUACCAAGGCUUUGACGGGUAGCCGGCCUGAGAGGGUGACCGGCCACAUGGGUACUGAGAGACGGCCCAGACUGCUACGGGAGGCAGCAGUCGGGAAUAUUGCACAAUGGGCGGAAGCCUGAUGCAGCAACGCCGCGUGCGGGAUGACGGCCUUCGGGUUGUAAACCGCGUUCGCCUGUGACGAAGCGUGAGUGACGGUAAUGGGUAAAGAAGCACCGGCUAACUACGUG